This 3509-nucleotide unclassified non-coding RNA is filed under the name Zea mays. RNAcentral describes it as "misc RNA Zm00001eb310910". The record is from RNAcentral. Lineage: Eukaryota; Viridiplantae; Streptophyta; Magnoliopsida; Poales; Poaceae.
UUCCAGCCGAGCUCCCUGAUUUUUGUCACAGCCGUCUUCCUCCCUUAUCCUCGCCGCCGCCCUGGUCUUCAAAAAAUCUGCCGCGCCGCUUCAGCUCUGGAUAAAAUCCCGCCGGUGCUGCCCAGCCGCUCCUUCCCCAGCGCAGACCGCUCCUUCUCCCUCCUCUACGCAGUGCCGCGUCCACCUCCAUCUUUGCCGGCUGGAGCUCCCUGGUGCUUGCUCCUCUGCAGUACGGAGCUCCUCCCUGAAGCUUCUAUCCCCUGCCAUGGCGCUUCGCUUCCCCUGCGGCAUUCUCCUUUCUCUAAUCUCCCUGCUCGCCGGCAGCAACAUCCAGCCGCGCAGCUCUUGACUCGCCGGCCGAGCUCUCUGCUCCUCCCUCUGUUCGCUCGCGUGAAGCCGCGCCUCUGCGCUCGCCCAGUCUUCGCGCGGCAGCUUUCCCCUGCCGGUGCCUAGCCCUGCGGCCCUCCUCUAUCCUCCCGAGCUUCUGCACAGCCAGCGCGCUCGAGCCCCUCUCAGCCAUGGUCGUUCCUCUGUGCUUGGGUUCAAGCUUCUGCGCGCCCUCCUCCCUCAGGGCGACGCUCCGGCUCCUGCUCGCUCUGCUCGCUUGGCUGACUCGCGCGCAUCCCUGGCUCGCCUGGUUCAUCGCGCGCACGCCCAGCGCCCUGGAUUCCCUGGCCGUCGCAGCCGAGGUCCUCCCCAUGGUGGCUUCCUCUGCCACGCCCAGCUCCCUCUGCUCCAUGCGCGCGAGCUCGCCGUCUCUGCUCGCUGCGCGCGCGCUCUGCAUCCAUGGCGGUCCCCAGCUCCCUCUGCCGGCCGUCGUCGAGCCCUCUGCACACGUACGCCGCGCCCAGCUCCAGCGCUUGUUCCCUGCUCCUAUGGCGGCCGAGCUCUCCGGUGCCGCGCGUUGAGCUCCCGGCCGUCGCUCAACUCGUCGGCGUGUGUCCUACUCCUUACGCGCCGUGUGCCGGAAAGUCCCUGCUUGCAAGCUAUCUGUUGGCCUCGCGCGAAGCUCUCUGUUCAUCGUCAUCGCUCGAUCGCUGCGUGUCGUGUGUCGCACAUCUUAGGUCCUCGUCGUUGGGUUUCGUGCGUGCUCGCGUUUACCGUCGAGUCGUCGAACCCGUCAUCCUCUGUUCAAACCCCACCUCACCAGCUCGCUUCAAACACCACCAGCUCGCUUCAAACACGAUCUCGUCGUCAAGCUUCGCUUUAGCCUUAGCUCGUCGGUCACGCUCGCCAGAUGUUCGAUCAAGGACUUCAGCUGAAGGCCGUCGUCGUUCAAGCAACUACCAAAUCGAGUUGUGAUGUGGCACUCUAAAUGUGGAGGGCUCCGGGAGUGCGCUAUCCACGCUGCUCGUCCACCAGCCGCCGCGAGGAAACUUCCGCGUCCUCCUACCCCGCGCUGGCGACUGCAUCUUCCGGGGCCGAGCCCUCGAUCCAGCGCGCUUCGCCGCCGGCAUCGAGGCAGGAGGGCGAGAAGCGGCCGUGCGGAGGCGGGUCUGUCGGCGUAGAGCUCGCACCCCUUCGAACCGAGGCCGCGCGACCCACCGCAACCCAAGAUCCAAGCCAGCUUCCCCCUGUUCGUCGCCGGAGAGUCGCCAUCGGCAAAAGGCUUCGUCGUCCACCGACUUCGUCGAAGGCAGCCGACAAAAGGAAGAGAAGCUCCUCGCCGCCGUCGUCUUCGUCUUCGAUUCGGUCCACCGAGCCAGAUCCGCAAAGAGCGAGCCAUGGAUUCGGAGAACGAAAAGCUCCGUAAAGCACUGGCUACUCUGCUCAGAGUUGUUCAAAAGCGUAGUUGUGACAUCGUUGAUGUCGUCAAAUCAGCCUUCCAGCCUUUCAACUCACCUUUGGUCGACGAAUUGAACCGAGCACUAGUUGAGAUUGACGACCUCGCCAAGGAUCUUGAAGACGUAGCAGUGCAAACUCAGUGGGAGGUAGAAAAUAUGGCUAACAGUCAAGUGAAAGAACAUCCACAUCAAGAGGAAGCAGUAGAGGACCUUCUCAUACAAGAUGGUUCAGAAGACGACCUACUGAUAGACGAAGAGUCACCAAUUAACUAUGAAGACCUUGUGGGCUACGACGAUGGUCGUGACUACUCAACCGACGACACAUAUCCGUACUAGUGUUCUAGGUUUAACUUCAGUAGAAGUAUUGUAGCAUGUUCAGGUCUAUGUUCAGGUGUACUUGUCGGUUGGUAUGAUCAUGCUUUUGGGGGAGUUUAAUGUUCUGGUCUAUGUAAACUGAAUCCGGUUCAGUUACUACAAUAAUUAUUGUGUUUUGUUGGACUCUGUUUGCCUUACUUUAUACCAUGUUACAUGAUGACUACAUGCUCAUUUGUAUCAUGUUUGAUCUGCCUCUAUUGCAUAGAAUGGGGAGUGAUUGGAACCAGGUGAUGUCUCAAUAUGGAAGCUUCCUUAGCCAGAUUGACGAGCAGCCUAUUGGAACACAACAUUCUGAAUUUCCAGUUGAUGGGCAACCCGAGGGCUCAAGAACACCAGCUGUUACUAAAAAGCCAACUCAAAGAACUAAGCUAGCAAACUUCACUGCUGAAGAGGACACAAGGGUAUGCCAUGCAUGGCUUGCUGUUAGUUGCGAUCCCAUUAUUAACACAGGGCAGAAACGUCAAGGAUUUUGGAGUAGGAUUACUCAAGCAUACAACUCAAGACGAGGAACAUUGCCAGAAAGGUCCACAAAAUCUUUGAUGAGUAGAUGGGAUACUAUCAAAACACAUUGUUCCACUUUUGCUGGAUACAUGAUGGCAGUCCUCCGACAGAAUCCUAGUGGACUCAGUGACGCAGACAAGACAUCACUGGCAGCUUCUAGGUUUGCAGCAAUUGAGAAGAAGCCUUUCCACUUUUUACACUGUUGGGCCAUUCUUAAGGACCAACCAAAAUGGAUGGACAACCACAUGGGUCAACAACAUCAGCAAGCCAACGCUAAUCCCACACAUUCUAACACUGUCGAUUUGGAUGCAGAAGAAUCUGUACCAUCAAGCUUCACAUCCAAGAGGCCACUUGGUCGAGAUUCUUCUAAGGAAAAGGCAAAGAGGACUAAAUCUGUGGACACAUCUUCAUCAGAUUCUGAGUUUAUGACACGCAUGGGAGAUCUUUCUUUGGAGCGCCUGUCAGUGUACAAAACAGCUGUUACAACUGAGGAAAAGAAGUUGGAUUCAAUGAACAGAAAUGAGGGGCAGAAAUUGCUCCUUGAAAAGAAGAAGUUGAACCUAGAGAAAUUAAGGCUUGAAAGGCAGAAACUAAAGGAGGACAAGGAAGAGGAGAUAAUGAUCUUAAGCAUGGAUUUGAGCAAAUGUAACCCUCUACUCCGCCAGUACUAUGAAGCCAAGCAACAAGAGAUACUGGCAAGGGUUACUGGGUCUACUUCAUCUGGCCAGUGAAGGUUCCUUACUUAAUAUGUUUGUUUGUCAUUUAUGAAUGAGGCGUACUCGGACUUGUUUCUGUGAGCUUGCUGUCGUCAGACCCUAAUCUGGUUUGUACCAGAUUUUUUUAGGUCGU